UGGUCUCCAUGGUUCCAUCAGGCCCCACUGCGUCACAAUGGUCUCUAGAUUCCAUGAAGCCCCGCUGUGUAGCCAUGGCACCUUGGUUCCAUGGGCUCCAGUGGUGCCAGAAUGAUCCCCUUGGUUUCAUUAGGUCCCCACAGUGUCCCAGUGAUCUCCUUGGGAAGGAAAGAACCCAGCCCCAGUGUUUCAGGGACAGUCACCAGAAGCCAAGUGUCAUAGGUUGACAAGGAAGUUUCCUGCGGUCAGGAUGACCCUAAGAGUCUUUUCUUCCUGAUGGUCGAAGAAGGAGUCAGAAUUCCUUGGCUCUGGUUUUCAAGCAAUCCAAAAGUGCCAGCAUCACCAGGAAGAUGGAGGCUAGGAAGAAGAAGGAAGAAGGACAGGACAACACCCAAAUCCCUCCAUCUUGCCUCUUAGACCCCUAUAGUAAAAUCCCUACAAUUCCACUUUGCACCCUGUGACAAAUUCAUUAUCAUUCUACUUAAAA
This is a long non-coding RNA of Passer domesticus (house sparrow), 487 nucleotides long. RefSeq lists it as uncharacterized. The record is from RefSeq and is a predicted model, not a curated record. Lineage: Eukaryota; Metazoa; Chordata; Aves; Passeriformes; Passeridae. The transcript is spliced from 3 exons.